Molecule: long non-coding RNA, 559 nt
Organism: Dermochelys coriacea (leatherback sea turtle)
Lineage: Eukaryota; Metazoa; Chordata; Testudines; Dermochelyidae
Exons: 2
Source: RefSeq, a predicted model, not a curated record
GUCUGGCCGCUGAGGAGGAAGGAUGCACCUCUCUGGCUCCAACUGAGGGAGAGCCGGAAGCCCAGGCUGCGAGAAUAGGGGACGCUGAGACCCAGCUAGGCACCCAGGUACUGGCGGAUGCCCCAGGGAGAUUGCCACCCAAGGGGCUUGGAGACUCUGAGGACACCCCGACUUCAACUGCAGGAGUCAAGAUGGUAUCUACUAAACACAUUAAGUGUGCACCCACUGGGCUCAAUCCAGUCAGACGCCGAGUGCCCAACCCUCCUAUUAACGUCAGUGGAAGAGGAGGACUCUAAGCACCUCUGCGAGGAAUCCUAGCACCAGAACUCUUUAAUUGCCCUUGGCUCUGGCAUCUCUUUAGCUCCUUGUAUUCUGCAUGAGGAGAAUAAGGCCUCUCGAAUGGACAUUCUUGAUCCCCAGUCGUGCACAUGCUUAACUGUAAGGAUGUGAGGAAUCCCACUGAAGCUAAUGGAGAAAUGCUAAUCUUCAGAAGCUUGAAAUACAGUCCAAGGAGUGGAAGAGGAGUAGAAGGGCCAGAGUGACUUAGUUUGAUAUAGCC